RNAcentral lists this ribosomal RNA (448 nucleotides) under uncultured organism. RNAcentral's name for it is "partial 16S ribosomal RNA". It matches the Rfam family "Bacterial small subunit ribosomal RNA", at positions 331 to 796 of the family's 1533-position model. The record is from RNAcentral.
GUACACUCCUACGGGAGGCAGCAGUGGGGAAUAUUGGACAAUGGGCGCAAGCCUGAUCCAGCCAUGCCGCGUGAGUGAUGAAGGCCCUAGGGUUGUAAAGCUCUUUCACCGGUGAAGAUAAUGACGGUAACCGGAGAAGAAGCCCCGGCUAACUUCGUGCCAGCAGCCGCGGUAAUACGAAGGGGGCUAGCGUUGUUCGGAUUUACUGGGCGUAAAGCGCACGUAGGCGGACUAUUAAGUCAGGGGUGAAAUCCCGGGGCUCAACCCCGGAACUGCCUUUGAUACUGGUAGUCGUGAGUUCGAGAGAGGUGAGUGGAAUUCCGAGUGUAGAGGUGAAAUUCGUAGAUAUUCGGAGGAACACCAGUGGCGAAGGCGGCUCACUGGCUCGAUACUGACGCUGAGGUGCGAAAGCGUGGGGAGCAAACAGGAUUAGAUACCCCAGUAGUCC